GACGAACCGUGCAAACGUUGUUCGGAAUCACUGGGCUUAAAGGGCGCGUAGGCGGCUUGCCAAGUCAGGGGUGAAAUCUUUCGGCUUAACCGCAAAAGUGCCUCUGAUACUGGCGAGCUAGAGGGAGGUAGGGGCAUGUGGAACUUCCGGUGGAGCGGUGAAAUGCGUUGAUAUCGGAAGGAACGCCGGUGGCGAAAGCGACGUGCUGGAUCUCUCUUGACGCUGAGGCGCGAAAGCUAGGGGAGCAAACGGG
Molecule: ribosomal RNA, 253 nt
Filed under: uncultured bacterium
Lineage: Bacteria
Description: partial 16S ribosomal RNA
Rfam family: Bacterial small subunit ribosomal RNA
Source: RNAcentral